AACGAACGCUGGCGGCGUGCCUAACACAUGCAAGUCGAACGAGAAUUUUCCCUUCGGGGAAAUAGUAAAGUGGCGCAAGGGUGAGUAACACGUGAAUAAUCUGCCUACGAAUUUGGGAUAACGCGGGGAAACCUGUGCUAAUACCAGAUAAGACCACGUCUCUUAUGUGAUGUGGCCAAAGGAGCCUCAAGCUCCGUUUGUAGAUGAGUUCGCGGACCAUUAGCUAGUUGGAGGGAUAAAAGCCCCCCAAGGCUACGAUGGUUAGCCGGCCUGAGAGGGUGAUCGGCCACACUGGAACUGAGACACGGUCCAGACUCCUACGGGAGGCAGCAGUGGGGAAUAUUGCGCAAUGGGGCGAAAGCCUGACGCAGCAACGCCGCGUGAGGGAUG
RNAcentral lists this ribosomal RNA (390 nucleotides) under uncultured Nitrospina sp. RNAcentral's name for it is "bacterial SSU rRNA". It matches the Rfam family "Bacterial small subunit ribosomal RNA", at positions 29 to 410 of the family's 1533-position model. The record is from RNAcentral. Lineage: Bacteria; Pseudomonadati; Nitrospinota; Nitrospinia; Nitrospinales; Nitrospinaceae.